Oncorhynchus keta (chum salmon) is the source of this 1452-nucleotide long non-coding RNA. RefSeq lists it as uncharacterized. The record is from RefSeq and is a predicted model, not a curated record. NCBI's taxonomy places the organism in Eukaryota, Metazoa, Chordata, Actinopteri, Salmoniformes, Salmonidae. The transcript has 5 exons.
UCUGAUUUUAUUCUGGCUAAAUGAAAAUAAAGUCACAAGCAUAGUCUGUAGGAAGAGAGGUUGAGGUUAAUCAGUUGCCACUAGUCAGAGUAGUGUAGAUGAUCAGUCAAAGCAGCCAAUUUCUAAAAUUAACUGUUAAAUCUUUUGCAGACAGUGUCCUGGUUGUCACAGGUUAGCAGACAAUGUGUCCUGGUUGUUACAGGUUAGCAGACAAUGUGUCCUGGUUGUUACAGGUUAGCAGACAGUGUGUCCUGGUUGUUACAGGUUAGCAGACAGUGUGUCCUGGUUGUUACAGGUUAGCAGACAAUGUGUCCUGGUUGUUACAGGUUAGCAGACAGUGUGUCCUGGUUGUUACAGGUUAGCAGACAGUGUGUCCUGGUUGUUACAGGUUAGCAGACAGUGUGUCCUGGUUGUUACAGGUUAGCAGACAGUGUGUCCUGGUUGUUACAGGUUAGCAGACAGUGUGUCCUGGUUGUUACAGGUUAGCAGACAGUGUGUCCUGGUUGUUACAGGUUAGCAGACAGUGUCCUGGUUGUUACAGGUUAGCAGACAGUGUCCUGGUUGUUACAGGUUAGCAGACAAUGUGUCCUGGUUGUUACAGGUUAGCAGACAAUGUGUCCUGGUUGUUACAGGUUAGCAGACAGUGUGUCCUGGUUGUUACAGGUUAGUAGACAAUGUGUCCUGGUUGUUACAGGUUACUAGACAAUGUGUCCUGGUUGUUACAGGUUACUAGACAAUGUGUCCUGGUUGUUACAGGUUAGCAGACAGUGUCCUGGUUGUUACAGGUUAGUAGACAGUGUCCUGGUUGUUACAGGUUAGUAGACAGUGUGUCCUGGUUGUUACAGGUUAGUAGACAGUGUGUCCUGGUUGUUACAGGUUACUAGACAAUGUGUCCUGGUUGUUACAGGUUAGCAGACAGUGUGUCCUGGUUGUUACAGGUUAGUAGACAGUGUGUCCUGGUUGUUACAGGUUAGUAGACAAUGUGUCCUGGUUGUUACAGGUUAGUAGACAAUGUGUCCUGGUUGUUACAGGUUAGCAGACAGUGUGUCCUGGUUGUUACAGGUUAGUAGACAGUGUGUCCUGGUUGUUACAGGUUACUAGACAAUGUGUCCUGGUUGUUACAGGUUAGUAGACAGUGUCCUGGUUGUUACAGGUUAGUAGACAGUGUGUCCUGGUUGUUACAGGUUACUAGACAAUGUGUCCUGGUUGUUACAGUUUAGCAGACAGUGUCCUGGUUGUUACAGGUUAGUAGACAAUGUGUCCUGGUUGUUAAAUCUUUAGCAGACAGUAUGUCCUGGUUGUUACAGGUUAGUAGACAGUGUCCUGGUUGUUAAAUCUUUAGCAGACAGUGUCCUGGUUGUUACAGGUUAGUAGACAGUGUCCUGGUUGUUACAGGUUAGUAGACAGUGUCCUGGUUGUUAAAUCUUUAGCAGACAGUAUGUCCUGGUUGCG